GGAAGUAAAAGUCGUAAUAAGGUUUCCGUAGGUGAACCUGCGGAAGGAUCAUUAAUGAGUUGUCAUGGGGUUCGAUGCUGGCAGCCAGUUUUUGGAUGCAUGUGCUUGCCCUAACAAUCAUCUUCUUCCAAACACCUGUGCACAUUUUUGAGGGAGUCUUGAGUUGGUUGCCGCUCUUGGGUGAUUUUCUCACAUUCCCUUAAAUCAUUAUACGCUAUUAACAAUGUUGAACGUGCUCUGUGCCGCAAGGCCAUUAAUAUAAUACAACUUUUAACAACGGAUCUCUUGGCUCUC
This 294-nucleotide unclassified non-coding RNA is filed under the name plant metagenome. RNAcentral describes it as "partial contains small subunit ribosomal RNA, internal transcribed spacer 1, and 5.8S ribosomal RNA". The stretch from base 1 to 54 matches the Rfam family "Eukaryotic small subunit ribosomal RNA", at positions 1778 to 1831 of the family's 1831-position model. The record is from RNAcentral.